This 128-nucleotide small nucleolar RNA is filed under the name Sorex araneus (European shrew). Its description in RNAcentral is "Small nucleolar RNA SNORA22 (ENSSARG00000018074.1)". Lineage: Eukaryota; Metazoa; Chordata; Mammalia; Eulipotyphla; Soricidae. The record is from RNAcentral.
CUACACAUUGUAUGAUUGCUCCAACACCAGUUCCCUUGGUUUUAACUCUGUGUUAGAGCAAUGUCUGCUCUUAACCUCUUCAUUGAAGGACUAUCUUUUUUAAGUGUAUUCAGAAGAUCAGCACAUUA